Molecule: long non-coding RNA, 1017 nt
Filed under: Capra hircus (goat)
Lineage: Eukaryota; Metazoa; Chordata; Mammalia; Artiodactyla; Bovidae
Description: lncRNA (ENSCHIG00010000901.1)
Source: RNAcentral
UUUAAUAAUGAUUUAAGCCGGGUGAAGGGUGUAUUUGGGUUUAUGUCAAAGCCCCAUGGACCUACUUUGCAGGGCUGAUGGGAAGAAUGACAACUGAUAGGGAGGGAGAGAGGGGGUUGGAUGCUCUUUCGGAGAUUCCCCUUCUAAGGUACCACUGAUUUCAGGGUGACCCCAGUGCUUCCUACAUGGCAGACUCUUAGUGGAUUCUUCUGGCUUGCAUGAAUGCGUGAGCAUAUGGAUGAAUGAAUGUGAAUGAACCUGGCCCACGAUGGGUUGGAGAACCAGUCUGUCACAAGAUCAGAAACAGAAUCUAAUUUCUAGGUCAAACAGAAUGAUGAAAUGAUUCUGUAUGUUUCCCAGUUAAGCAAAUUGCACAUUUAAAGGCAUCUUUAUCUAUCACUAUCAUAAGGACCAAAAUACUCCUACACCUUCCCGCCUUAUCCUGGUAGACAAGGCACAUGAGAAGAUUUACUAAAACCUCCACUCUGAAGCCAUAUCCCCACUAUUCACACCUCACAGAGACAACACUGCUCUGAGUUCCCCUGCUGUUAUCUUUUGCUUGCCCUGCCCAACAUGUGUCCCUGUGCUCCUGAUUAGCCUAAGUUCCCUGGCUUCAGGACUGUCUGUAUCCUACACCUGCAAAUCACAUUGCUUUUGUAUGGCCACAGAAAUUGGUUUAGGGUUGGGCAUUUGACUCAAGCCAAAUCAACUGAGGCCCAGUCAAAACCAAUCCUGGAACUUUUGUAUAAGUGACUGGAAAAGAGGUGCAUAAAUUUUGCCUUUGGACUUGAAGUUGGGAGAGACAUACCUACACAGACAGAGAGUCUGCUCAAUAAAACCGAUUGGAGAGAUAGCGGAUUCAGACAUCAUUUGAUCCCCUGGAUCCAGCUAUACCUGAGUGCCCUGCAUGCGGUAUGAGCUGAGAGAAGCCAGGUGGCUAGACAGACUUCCCCGCAGGUGGAAGCUGUGGAUACCUGAGUGUCUUGGCUACGAAUGCGGUCAGGUGACUUCAUCCUG